AAAGUCGUAACAAGGUUUCCGUAGGUGAACCUGCGGAAGGAUCAUUAACAAGUUGAUGGGGGGUGUGGUUUUGUAUCAUGCCUCUACAUUUGCGCGCUCUUUCGGGAGCGUUGGGUGGUGGUGGUGAUGGUGAUUACAUGAACUGUGAUCACAUGAUCACUAUCCCUCGAACAUUCACACGUUUGCUGGUUGUCUGUCAUAUCACACAAAAACACAACUUUUAACAAUGGAUCUCUUGGCUCUC
This 244-nucleotide unclassified non-coding RNA is filed under the name Basidiomycota sp. RNAcentral describes it as "partial contains small subunit ribosomal RNA, internal transcribed spacer 1, and 5.8S ribosomal RNA". The stretch from base 1 to 47 matches the Rfam family "Eukaryotic small subunit ribosomal RNA", at positions 1785 to 1831 of the family's 1831-position model. Lineage: Eukaryota; Fungi; Basidiomycota. The record is from RNAcentral.